UACGUAGGUGGCAAGCGUUGUCCGGAGUUAUUGGGCGUAAAGCGCGCGCAGGCGGUGCGGUAAGUCUCUGGUGAAAGCGCUCGGCUUAACUGGGCGAGGGCCGGGGAGACUGCCACGCUGGAGGGGAGCAGAGGCGAGUGGAAUUCCGGGUGUAGUGGUGAAAUGCGUAGAGAUCCGGAGGAACACCAGUGGCGAAGGCGGCUCGCUGGGCUCUACCUGACGCUGAGGCGUGAAAGCGUGGGGAGCGAACCGG
This 253-nucleotide ribosomal RNA is filed under the name uncultured bacterium. Its description in RNAcentral is "partial 16S ribosomal RNA". It matches the Rfam family "Bacterial small subunit ribosomal RNA", at positions 524 to 776 of the family's 1533-position model. The record is from RNAcentral.